GGGAUGCUGGUCCCCUGGGAUCCUGUCUGGAUUUACAGAGGCUGUUUUUUUGAUCAAAAUAGAGGCCUUAAUGGCUUCCUGUUUAGACGUUAUUGCUUUACCAUGAGACCCAUGGGAGAUAGUGUAGCAAUUCUACCCUGCACCCUGAGGUGGAAGAGAUGAGGACACCAGAGUAUUACCUUCUGAGGGUUGGCUGCAUCCUGCCCUGCCUAGUGCUUCUCUGACAACCACAGCUACUCUCUCCAGGCUCUUCCCUCCCCUUUAAACUGAGGGGAGGUAAUGGCUCCUCUGUGUUGCCAGCCCCCGGAUGCUGCACCAACUCUUCUGGGUCUCCUUAACCCUGCUCACACCCUUGUAAAUGCUCCCUAUAAUAAACUCUCCUCGGUUAUCCCCGUUCAGGGCACCAUCUGUUUCCUUCCAGGACGAGCACUCAUAUAAGUCGACAAUGCAUCUGCAUUCUAGAAAAUAAUUCAGUGUUCCAGACAAGAAUAUUGUUGAUUUUUGAAGAAAUUUCCCAUACCUACACUAAAGGAACACCAAAUUUAUUACUGUAUCAGUGAGACAGCUGUUGUGACAGUAAAGUGAGACCCUUGUAGCAAAAGCACUUUUCGGACUCCAUGAUGUUAGGAAACUGCAAAACACCUUCUUCUGAGUCCAGAGACUGGAAAAUGAACUCUUGUGUGAUGAUGAACACUGUUACAGAGAAACAUUGAGCAGGCAAAGAGGACAUUGAGAAUUUCCAGGACGGUAACACUAAGAUGACGACAAAUUUUUCAUUGAAGUAGAAACUAAAAACAAGGAAAAUAUUUUAGAACUGAUCUGUCAUGUACAUGUCUGGCCAGGCCACCCCAUCUUUUUUGUGUGUGCAAUGAUUCUCUGCCGGAUAAAUAUUUGUUAAAUAUGUAAAUAAAUGUCUCCCUCCAUCUGAAAAGUAAGCACCACCAGGGUAGGCAUUUUAUGUUUUUUACUGAUGUAUCCCACACGCUGAGAACUAUACCUGACAC
RNAcentral lists this long non-coding RNA (1004 nucleotides) under Homo sapiens (human). RNAcentral's name for it is "HSALNT0267250". The record is from RNAcentral. Lineage: Eukaryota; Metazoa; Chordata; Mammalia; Primates; Hominidae.